Molecule: ribosomal RNA, 786 nt
Filed under: uncultured Russula
Lineage: Eukaryota; Fungi; Basidiomycota; Agaricomycetes; Russulales; Russulaceae
Description: partial 28S ribosomal RNA
Rfam family: Eukaryotic large subunit ribosomal RNA
Source: RNAcentral
GCGUCAUAGAGGGUGAGAAUCCCGUCUUUGGCACGGAAACCCCAGGGCUUUUGUGAUGCGCUCUCGAAGAGUCGAGUUGUUUGGGAAUGCAGCUCAAAAUGGGUGGUGAACUCCAUCUAAAGCUAAAUAUUGGCGAGAGACCGAUAGCGAACAAGUACCGUGAGGGAAAGAUGAAAAGCACUUUGGAAAGAGAGUGAAACAGUACGUGAAAUUGUUGAAAGGGAAACGCUUGAAGUCAGUCGCGUCGACCGAGACUCAGCCUUGCCCUUGGCUUGGUGUACUUCUCGGCUGACGGGUCAGCAUCAAUUUUGCCCCUUGGAUAAUGGCGAGGGAAAUGUGACACCUUUACGGUGUGUUAUAGUCUCUUGUCGCAUGCAAGGGUUGGGAUUGAGGAACUCAGCACGCACCUUUGGGUGUCGGGGCUUUGCCCACGAUACGUGCUUAGGAUGUUGGCGUAAUGGCUUUAAACGACCCGUCUUGAAACACGGACCAAGGAGUCUAACAUGCCUGCGAGUGUUCGGGUGGAAAACUCGUGCGCGCAAUGAAAGUGAAAGUUGGGACCUCUGUCGUGGAGGGCACCGACGCCCGGACCAGACCUUCUGUGACGGCUCUGCGGUAAAGCAUGUAUGUUAGGACCCGAAAGAUGGUGAACUAUGCCUGAAUAGGGUGAAGCCAGAGGAAACUCUGGUGGAGGCUCGUAGCGAUUCUGACGUGCAAAUCGAUCGUCAAAUUUGGGUAUAGGGGCGAAAGACUAAUCGAACCAUCUAGUAGCUGGUUCCUGCCGAA